GCCUACGGGCGGCAGCAGGCGCGAAACCUCCGCAAUGCGAGAAAUCGCGACGGGGGGACCCCAAGUGCCACUCUUAACGGGGUGGCUUUUCUUAAGUGUAAAAAGCUUUUGGAAUAAGGGCUGGGCAAGACCGGUGCCAGCCGCCGCGGUAACACCGGCAGCUCUAGUGGUAGCCAUUUUUAUUGGGCCUAAAGCGUUCGUAGCCGGUUUGAUAAGUCUCUGGUGAAAUCCUAUAGCUUAACUGUGGGAAUUGCUGGAGAUACUAUUAGACUUGAGGUCGGGAGAGGUUAGCGGUACUCCCAGGGUAGGGGUGAAAUCCUGUAAUCCUGGGAGGACCACCUGUGGCGAAGGCGGCUAACUGGAACGAACCUGACGGUGAGGGACGAAAGCCAGGGGCGCGAACCGGAUUAGAUACCCUAGUAGUC
This 425-nucleotide ribosomal RNA is filed under the name uncultured Methanobacteriaceae archaeon. Its description in RNAcentral is "bacterial SSU rRNA". It matches the Rfam family "Archaeal small subunit ribosomal RNA", at positions 321 to 746 of the family's 1478-position model. Lineage: Archaea; Methanobacteriati; Methanobacteriota; Methanobacteria; Methanobacteriales; Methanobacteriaceae. The record is from RNAcentral.